Molecule: ribosomal RNA, 404 nt
Filed under: Fusobacteriota bacterium
Lineage: Bacteria; Fusobacteriati; Fusobacteriota
Description: Fusobacteria bacterium partial 16S ribosomal RNA
Rfam family: Bacterial small subunit ribosomal RNA
Source: RNAcentral
UGGGGAAUAUUGCACAAUGGAGGGAACUCUGAUGCAGCGACGCCGCGUGAGUGAUGAAGGAAUUCGUUUCGUAAAACUCUGUUCUAUGGGAAGAAAAGGACUGUACCAUAGGAGAAAGCUCCGGCUAAAUACGUGCCAGCAGCCGCGGUAAUACGUAUGGAGCGAGCGUUGUCCGGAAUUAUUGGGCGUAAAGGGUGCGCAGGCGGCUUUACAAGUUGGAUGUGAAAUAUUGUGGCUCAACCACAAACGUGCAUCCAAAACUGCAAAGCUUGAGUUAAGGAGAGGUAAGUGGAAUUCCUGGUGUAGCGGUGGGAUUCGUAGUUAUCAGGAGGAAUACCGGUGGCGAAGGCGACUUACUGGACUUAAACUGACGCUCAGGCACGAAAGCGUGGGGAGCAAACAGG